This is a long non-coding RNA of Esox lucius (northern pike), 1163 nucleotides long. RefSeq lists it as uncharacterized. Lineage: Eukaryota; Metazoa; Chordata; Actinopteri; Esociformes; Esocidae. The transcript is spliced from 6 exons. The record is from RefSeq and is a predicted model, not a curated record. The annotation marks the transcript as partial.
UCCACAUUAAGAGAAGAAGUCAAGCAACAAUAUGUUCAGGAGGCAGCAGCACUGAAGGCACAUCCUCAGCCGCAACUCCCACUACUAAAGAUCCCAUCAUUGUGCUUUUGAAAAAAGUGCAAGAUCUUUUCAACCAAAGAUAUAAGGAGGCCGGAGGUACUGGAAGGCUCCCCUACCAGUCCCUUGUGAAUAACAAGGCAACGAUCAAAGUUGCUGGGCUGCCCAUUGGACUUGACAUCAAGAAGCCCUCCUUUUACGGAAGACACCAAUUAGAGGCCAUUUUGGCAGCUGCUGAGCACAUUUCAUUUGAAAUAAAUACAGCACAAUGCAACCCCACUGACAUGGCAGAGGGAAUGUCCGAGCACAUGGACGCAGAAGACACAGCAGUUUGUAUCCAGAAGAAGUCAGUGGAACAGAUAUUUGAGGCCAUGUGUGGUAAUGGUGCACAGCAGAUGGAAGGAGAGUCCUCAGAAACAGCCACUAAUGUAGCCCCCGUGAUGACUGCAGAUGAAGAUAGAGGCAAUUUGUACUCUGUCUGCCGCAUCCAUUUUGAUGACAAGAAGAAGAACGCUACAAAGAAGUGGCGUUCAUGGUCUCAGUGCUCAGUGUGCCAAUCAUGUACCCACACUGCCUGUGGUUUUAAAAGAACCAUGUGCCUUCAUUGCCAGGGUCAACACACCAUGCAAACACCCUGAUUUCUAGUAUAUAUCUAGGUCCGUUGCCACUGAAAAUUCCACGGAUGUCCUUCGUUUUCGGAUGAUGUCCAUCUCCUUCCUCUUUUUUUGUGUUGGCGUUCUAACCUCCGGAGGAUUUCUGAGGACAAUGGUUAACUGCUCCUCAGAUCUCUGCAGGGUAAAUCCAGACGGCUAGCUAGACUAUCGUUCCAAUCUGAGUUUUCUGUUGUUUGAAUAAAACAACUUUUGAACGUACACAAGUUUUAGUUUUUCUUACUGUGUUGAUGGCCCCCACCGCAUCCCUACAGAACACACACACUACGUUUAAAAAGAACCCUGGAGGUUUGGUCGGAAAGUCCAGCUCUUGUGAAAGCUCAUCCGAACUCAGGUGCAGGCAUAGAUAUAGAACAUUGUUCUAUAUAUAUUGUUCUAUAUCUAUGCCUGCAGGUCUGUAUGGAUUGUAUAUAGGCCUAUGUAUACAGAUUUUAG